RNAcentral lists this long non-coding RNA (2250 nucleotides) under Sus scrofa (pig). Its description in RNAcentral is "lncRNA (ENSSSCG00025053384.1)". Lineage: Eukaryota; Metazoa; Chordata; Mammalia; Artiodactyla; Suidae. The record is from RNAcentral.
GGUCAUGGCCAAUAAGUACAUACCUUGUGGUCUCAGUACUUUCUGUCUAGUUACUGUGGAAAACCAAAUGAAAGUAAAAAACAAUGAGAACAGAGAAUUUCUUACAUGUUUUCCUGCCUCAGCAGACAUAGUUCACUGUGAAAUAGGUAACCUAGACAAUCCAGGAGCCACAUAAAGAAAUCCACUCAGAAUGAGGAUAUUAGCAAAUAUAGCAGGUAUAGAAAAGAUAACCUACUGAAAGGGAGAAUAUGUUUGCUAAUUAUAUAACCAAUGAAGAUUUACUAUCCAAAAUACAUAAAAGUUCAUACACUUACUUUUUAAAAAUGCAACCCAAUUAGAAAAACAGGCAGAAGGGCUAAAUAGACAUUUUCCCAAAAACAUACAAAUGGCCAAUAGGCAUAUGCAAAGAUGCUCAACGUGGUUAAUCAGCACAGAAAUUCAAAUUAAAACCAAACUGAGAUAUCACCUCACACCUGUCAGAAUGGCUAUCAUCAAAAAGAACACAAAUAAAUAAAUGUUGGUGAGGAUGUGGAGAAAUGGGAAUCCUUGUACAUUGCUGGUAGGGAUGUAAAUUGUUGCAGCCAUGGUGGAAAACAUUAUGGAAGUUUCUCAAAAAACUAAAAAUAGAGUUGCCAUAUCAUCCUGCAAUUCUGCCCCUAGGUAUAUACCGAAAAAAAUGAAAACAAUAAUUUGAAAAGAUACAUGCACCUCGAUGUCCAUAGCGACAUUAUUUAUAAUCACCAAGAUAUGGAAGCAACUUAAGUGUCCAUGGAUAAAGAAGAUGUGGUAUAUUCACAAUGGAAUAUUACUCAGCCAUAAAAAGGAGUGAAAUAAUGUCAUUUGCAACAACAUGGAUGGACCUAGAGAUUAUCAUACCAAGUGAAAUAAGUCAGACAAAAACAAACAUCACAUGAUAUCACUUAUAUAUAGAAUCUAAAAAAUGAUACAAAUGAACUUAUGUACAAAAUAAAAACAGACUCACAGACAUAGAAAACAAACUUAUGGUUACCAAAGGCAAAAGGUGAGGGGGAAAGGGAUAAAUUAGGAGUUUGGGAUUAAAAUAUACAUAAUGCUAUACAUAAAAUAGAUGGCCAACAAGGAUCUAUUAUGCACAGGAACCUCUACUCAAUAUUCUGUAAUAACAUGUAUGGGGAAAGAAUCUGAAAAAGAAUGAUAUCUGUAUAUGUACAACUGACUCAUUUUGCUAUACACUUGAAACCAACACAACAUUGUAAAUCAACUAUACUGUAAUAUAAAAUAAAAAUUAAAUUAAACUUAAAAAUAAAAAAUAAAACAGGAGUUCCCAUCGUGGCACAGUGGAAAUGAAUCCAACUAGGAACCAAGAGGUUGCAGUUUGAUCCCUGACCUUGCUCAAUGGAUUAAGGAUCUGGUGUUGCUGUGAGCUGUGGUGUAGUUCGCAGAUACACGACUCAGAUCUGGCAUUGCUGUGGCUCUAGCGUAGGCCAGUAGCUACAGCUUGGAUUAGAACCCUAGCCUAGGAACCUCCAUAUGCCACAGGUGCAGCCCUAAAAAGACAAAAGACAAAAAAACAGAAAACAAAAAACAACUUUAUUUAGUUUGUCUCGUUCACACCUGUAGCCCCAUGGCUUCGAAUGGUGUUUAGAAGCAAGUGGGUACUUAAUGGAAAUCAAAAGCAUCAGCAAUGGAGUAUUGGCACCAUGGAGGUGUAAUGUCAGCUCUGCUACAUUACAGGGCAAGGUCUGGACAUGUCAGAGAAAAAUCCAGAGCUCAGUUUUAUCAACUGAAAGAGUUCGAUAAAACCUGCCCUGUCAACCUCAAGGAAUUUGUUCUGCUAAAUAAGGCAGUGAGUAUAAAACUUCUCUGAAAAUACUCUACCUUCCAGGGUUUCAGAAGUUAUGUUGGGAAAUGUGGGACACUAUUUUGGAAAGGAACAUAGCAGUAGGUACAAAAGCCACACAUGAAAUGAUCUGAAGAACAGAUUCAAAGGAAGAAAAAUGUUGAAUGUGGAGUUGCCACCAUGGUGCAGCAGAAACGAAUCCGACUAGGAACCAUGAAGUUGCAGGUUCGAUCCCUGGCCUCGUUCAUUAGGUUAAGGAUCUGGCAUUGCCGUGCGCUGUGGUAUAGGUGGCAGACACGGCUCGGAUCUGGCAUUGCUGUGGCUCUGGUGUAGGCCAGCAGCUACAGCUCCAAUUAGACCCCUAGCCUAGGAAACUCCAUAUGCUGCGGGUACGGCCCUAAAAGGACAAAAAGACCAAAAAAAAAAAAAAA